ACCUGCGGAGGGAUCAUUACCGAGUGGAGGGCGUCUCUGCGGCGCCCGACCUCCCAACCCUCUGAAGAACCACGACCCCCUUCUGCCUCGGGGGCGAACCCGGCCCGUGGUCGGAUUCCCCCCGACGGCGACCCCCUUCCAACCCUGCAUCAAUUGUCGUCGGAUGUUUUGAAGCAAAUUCAAUCAAAACUUUCAACAACGGAUCUCUUGGUUCUGGCAUCGAUGAAGAACGCAGCGAAAUGCGAUAAGUAAUGUGAAUUGCAGAAUUCAGUGAAUCAUCGAAUCUUUGAACGCACAUUGCGCCCCCUGGCAUUCCGGGGGGCAUGCCUGUUCGAGCGUCAUUACACCAAUCACGCCUGGCGUGGUCUUGGGCGACGGGGCCUCGGCCCCGCGUCCCAAUGUCUCCCCGGCGGGACGGACCGUAUCUCAGCGUUGUGCAAAUGCCGCUGGCGAGGACGGGACGGCUGUGCCGUGAAAAACAACCCCCAUCAUCAGGUUGACCUCGGAUCAGGUAGGGAUACCCGCUGAACUUAAGCAUAUCAAUAAGCGGAGGAAAAGAA
RNAcentral lists this ribosomal RNA (560 nucleotides) under Mycosphaerella sp. RNAcentral describes it as "eukaryotic LSU rRNA". The stretch from base 188 to 341 matches the Rfam family "5.8S ribosomal RNA". Lineage: Eukaryota; Fungi; Ascomycota; Dothideomycetes; Mycosphaerellales; Mycosphaerellaceae. The record is from RNAcentral.